Molecule: ribosomal RNA, 427 nt
Filed under: uncultured bacterium
Lineage: Bacteria
Description: bacterial SSU rRNA
Rfam family: Bacterial small subunit ribosomal RNA
Source: RNAcentral
UAGGGAAUAUUGGACAAUGGGGGCAACCCUGAUCCAGCCAUGCCGCGUGAGUGAAGAAGGCCCUCGGGUUGUAAAGCUCUUUUGUCCGGAAAGAAAAGCAUUCGGUGAAUACCCGGAUGUUCUGACGGUACCGGAAGAAUAAGCACCGGCUAACUUCGUGCCAGCAGCCGCGGUAAUACGAAGGGUGCAAGCGUUACUCGGAAUUACUGGGCGUAAAGCGUGCGUAGGUGGUUGUUUAAGUCUGAUGUGAAAUCCCCGGGCUUAACCUGGGAACUGCGUUUGUGACUGCAAGGCUGGAGUACGGCAGAGGGGGGUGGAAUUCCACGUGUAGCAGUGAAAUGCGUAGAGAUGUGGAGGAACACCGAUGGCGAAGGCAGCCCCCUGGGCCUGUACUGACGCUCAUGCACGAAAGCGUGGGGAGCAAACA